RNAcentral lists this transfer RNA (69 nucleotides) under Hydromantes brunus (limestone salamander). Its description in RNAcentral is "tRNA-Ile". It matches the Rfam family "tRNA". From Rfam's summary of the family: Transfer RNA (tRNA) molecules are approximately 80 nucleotides in length. Lineage: Eukaryota; Metazoa; Chordata; Amphibia; Caudata; Plethodontidae. The record is from RNAcentral.
GGAUAUGUGUCCGAAAGAUAGGACUUACCUUGAUAAGGUGAAUAAUAGAGGUUCAAACCCACUCAUCUC